RNAcentral lists this ribosomal RNA (463 nucleotides) under uncultured bacterium. Its description in RNAcentral is "bacterial SSU rRNA". It matches the Rfam family "Bacterial small subunit ribosomal RNA", at positions 339 to 794 of the family's 1533-position model. The record is from RNAcentral.
AUACGGGAGGCAGCAGCUAAGAAUAUUCCGCAAUGGACGAAAGUCUGACGGAGCGACGCCGCGUGGAUGACGAAGGCCGAAAGGUUGUAAAGUCCUUUUGUUGGGGAAGAAUAACCAUGGGAGGGAAUGCCCGUGGGAUGACAUGAACCGACGAAUAAGCCCCGGCUAACUACGUGCCAGCAGCCGCGGUAACACGUAGGGGGCGAGCGUUGUUCGGAAUUACUGGGCGUAAAGGGCAUGUAGGCGGCUCUAUAAGCCCGGCGUGGAAGCCCAUGGCUCAACCGUGGGAUUGCGCUGGGAACUGCAGGGCUUGAAUCAUGGAGAGGGAGCUAGAAUUCCUGGUGUAGGGGUGAAAUCUGUAGAGAUCAGGAAGAAUACCAGUGGCGAAGGCGAGCUCCUGGCCAAUGAUUGACGCUGAGGUGCGAAAGUGUGGGGAUCAAACAGGAUUAGAUACCCCGGUAGC